RNAcentral lists this ribosomal RNA (164 nucleotides) under uncultured bacterium. Its description in RNAcentral is "partial 16S ribosomal RNA". It matches the Rfam family "Bacterial small subunit ribosomal RNA", at positions 355 to 509 of the family's 1533-position model. The record is from RNAcentral.
UAGGGAAUCUUCGGCAAUGGACGAAAGUCUGACCGAGCAACGCCGCGUGAGUGAAGAAGGUUUUUCGGAUCGUAAAACUCUGUUGGUAGAGAAGAACGUUGGUGAGAGUGGAAAGCUCAUCAAGUGACGGUAACUACCCAGAAAGGGACGGCUAACUACGUGCC